UGGCGGCAUGCCUAACACAUGCAAGUCGAACGAGACUUCGGUCUAGUGGCGGACGGGUGAGUAACGCGUAGGAACCUGCCAAGUAGUGGGGAAUAACAGUUGGAAACGACUGCUGAUACCGCAUACGUCCUUCGGGGGAAAGAUUUAUCGCUAUUUGAGGGUCCUGCGUUCGAUUAGCUUGUUGGCGGGGUAACGGCCCACCAAGGCGACGAUCGAUAGCUGGUCUGAGAGGAUGAUCAGCCACACUGGGACUGAGACACGGCCCAGACUCC
Molecule: ribosomal RNA, 272 nt
Filed under: unidentified marine bacterioplankton
Lineage: Bacteria
Description: partial 16S ribosomal RNA
Rfam family: Bacterial small subunit ribosomal RNA
Source: RNAcentral